RNAcentral lists this ribosomal RNA (274 nucleotides) under uncultured bacterium. RNAcentral describes it as "partial 16S ribosomal RNA". It matches the Rfam family "Bacterial small subunit ribosomal RNA", at positions 523 to 796 of the family's 1533-position model. The record is from RNAcentral.
AUACGUAGGGUGCGAGCGUUAAUCGGAAUUACUGGGCGUAAAGCGUGUGCAGGCGGUUAUGUAAGACAGAUGUGAAAUCCCCGGGCUCAACCUGGGAACUGCAUUUGUGACUGCAUGACUGGAGUGCGGCAGAGGGGGAUGGAAUUCCGCGUGUAGCAGUGAAAUGCGUAGAUAUGCGGAGGAACACCGAUGGCGAAGGCAAUCCCCUGGGCCUGCACUGACGCUCAUGCACGAAAGCGUGGGGAGCAAACAGGAUUAGAAACCCCAGUAGUCC